Molecule: long non-coding RNA, 1211 nt
Organism: Fundulus heteroclitus (mummichog)
Lineage: Eukaryota; Metazoa; Chordata; Actinopteri; Cyprinodontiformes; Fundulidae
Exons: 9
Source: RefSeq, a predicted model, not a curated record
UCAAAAGGUCCACAACCUCCAACAUCUGCAGACUGCAUGGAAGGAAAUGGGGUUCUCCGGGUCCCCUACAUUUACGGACUUCCAUACUUCCAUUGCUACAUAUGCUAGAGAUGCAUUGUCACCUGGAACCAGGGCAAAGAUAAGCAAAACAAUGUGUCAUGACACCACCACGGCUGAAAAGUUCUAUGCAAUGCAUUUGAAUACAGAUCAAAUGUCAGAGCUGCGUAGACGAUUUCAGGAGGCCCCGUAGGAAUACGGGGACAGCAGGAAACUUCCAACCACAGAUCCAGCUUCCACAGUUCUAGGAACACCUGCUUAUAAUUAUAUUGAAAGUAGCCACCUUUAUAACAUUUCUCCAAAAAAUGUGCUAUACAUUGAUUGAUGGUUUGUUGUUAUUGACACUUCACUUGACAGCUCCUGAUGCCCAAAGCUUUCCGAAUAUAUCAGCUGGACUCAGCUGAUCCCUUGCGCUUUGGUGACGAGCAAUAUUUAGGCGUAUUCAGGUUGAACGUCUCUUUAAUUGGAACUGUUCCCCGUUCCCUAUGCAAUGCUGUUUGAAAGAAAACAACAUCCUUCAUGUUCAGAAGCUCAAUUGCCACAUGUUUGGCUACUGGCCACUGGAAAGUCAUCAGAAACACGGACCCUCCAGGCCAGGCCAAUUCAAAUGACUGUGGAGUGUUCAUGGUUAUGUACGCUCUUUAUAUGGCCUUGGGGUGGAGAUUUGACUUCAGUCAGGAUGACAUGCCAUGGUUAUGAAGGUGGUGGUGCCAUUCGAUGCUUGCAAAUAUGACUCUCGCUGCAAACACUAAUGACAACGCUUUGGCAUGUAAUGUCUUGCUAGCCGAAGAACCGGCAAGCAAAAUUCAACGUAUGGGGGACAUACAUCCCGAGGAAUCCCUUGAACAGAGCACCAUGACAAGAAUCAAUGAAGCAGUAUGCUGGAUACGAGACAUGUCUCUUUUCCGUGGACAUGUUGAACUGCCCAGCAUAUUGUCCAUGACAGCAGUGGAUCGACAGCAGUUCUUUCAGAACAUCGCCAAUGAUGAUGACAUCCAUGACUCAAGAGAAUGCCUCCUUUUUGUUUUUGAAUAUCAAGAAGAUUACACAGUUUUUUUUUAUUCUUGUCCAGCUGUGUCAGCAAUGUUUAACACCCUACCCUUUCCCCUUAGCCAGAGGACGGGCACCACCUCUGUCCACCCAUGGCCCACCUA